AAGUAUGAAGCAAUAAUUUGUAUCUAGUUUCGACCUAGGAGAAUGACAAUAUAGUCCUUACUUA
Molecule: transfer RNA, 64 nt
Filed under: Cryptocephalus rugicollis
Lineage: Eukaryota; Metazoa; Arthropoda; Insecta; Coleoptera; Chrysomelidae
Description: tRNA-Arg
Source: RNAcentral